This 1016-nucleotide small RNA is filed under the name Pholiota mixta. Its description in RNAcentral is "eukaryotic LSU rRNA". The stretch from base 627 to 1016 matches the Rfam family "Eukaryotic large subunit ribosomal RNA", at positions 1 to 384 of the family's 3401-position model. The record is from RNAcentral. Lineage: Eukaryota; Fungi; Basidiomycota; Agaricomycetes; Agaricales; Strophariaceae.
AACCUGCGGAAGGAUCAUUAUUGAAUGAACUUGGCGUGGUUGUUGCUGGUCCUCUUGGGGGCAUGUGCACACCCGUCAUCUUUAUCUUUCCACCUGUGCACAUUUUGUAGGUCUAAAAUUUUUCCGAGGCAACUCGUUUAGAGGGAUUGCUGUGCAUCACUGUCGGCUUCCCUUGGAUUUUCAGGCCUAUGUUUUCACAUACACCAUAAAAUGUAAUAGAAUGUCAUAUUGGGCUUUGUUGCCUAUAAACUAUAUACAACUUUCAGCAACGGAUCUCUUGGCUCUCGCAUCGAUGAAGAACGCAGCGAAAUGCGAUAAGUAAUGUGAAUUGCAGAAUUCAGUGAAUCAUCGAAUCUUUGAACGCACCUUGCGCUCCUUGGUAUUCCGAGGAGCAUGCCUGUUUGAGUGUCAUUAAAUUCUCAACCUUAUUAGCUUUUGUUAAUAAUGGCUUGGAUGUGGGGGUUUAUUUGCUGGCUUCUUAAUGAGAUCAGCUCCCCUUAAAUGCAUUAGCUGGUUGCCUUGUGCAGACUUGUCUAUUGGUGUGAUAAUUAUCUACGCCGUGGACUUUCUGCCAGUAUUUAGCACCGCUUCUAACUGUCUGUUUACUCGGACAAUAUAUGACAAUUUGACCUCAAAUCAGGUAGGACUACCCGCUGAACUUAAGCAUAUCAAUAAGCGGAGGAAAAGAAACUAACAAGGAUUCCCCUAGUAACUGCGAGUGAAGCGGGAAAAGCUCAAAUUUAAAAUCUGGCGACCUUUGGCCGUCCGAGUUGUAAUCUAGAGAAGUGUUAUCCGCGCUGGACCGUGUACAAGUCUCCUGGAAUGGAGCGUCAUAGAGGGUGAGAAUCCCGUCUUUGACACGGACUGCCAGGGCUUUGUGAUGCGCUCUCAAAGAGUCGAGUUGUUUGGGAAUGCAGCUCAAAAUGGGUGGUAAAUUCCAUCUAAAGCUAAAUAUUGGCGAGAGACCGAUAGCGAACAAGUACCGUGAGGGAAAGAUGAAAAGAACUUUGGAAAGA